Ictalurus punctatus (channel catfish) is the source of this 3051-nucleotide long non-coding RNA. The record is from Ensembl. NCBI's taxonomy places the organism in Eukaryota, Metazoa, Chordata, Actinopteri, Siluriformes, Ictaluridae.
UGAAGUUGUAGCUGUUGAACUUGGAGAGAGUGUUGUGAACUCAGUAACAGUUGUCAUUAUUGGUUGUGACAUUCUGGGUGAUGUAGGUGGACUUUGCUCUGUAAAUCUUGAUUCUUCAGCUUUAGUAAAAUACACUGUACUUUUUGUUGGAGUAGUUGCUUCACUUGUUGGUUUUGUGACCACUGUUGAUGCCUGUGGUAAUAUUACAGUGCUAUUUGUCACUUCUGUUGCAAUUGAUGGUAUAGUUGAAUAUGUGGUUGAUGUUUGCUCUGAAAUGGAUGACACGUCAACUGAACUACUUAGUGCUGGACUAGUCAAAGACGUAGUUAAUUCUGCUGUUAUUUGGGUUUUUUUUGUAGUCUGUGUAGUUGUGAUUAUUGCAUGUGUUGUGGACAUAGUGGGAGUGGUCAGUUCUAUUGCUUGUAUUGUAGUUAAAGGUACAGUUGUAGCUGUGGUUGCUUGCUUAGUAGUUGUUUGUUCUUCAGGUGUACAGAUUGGAGUUGGAGUAGAUGCAGUUGUAUCAGUGUUUGUUGCAGACUGUGUAGUUGAUACUGUGGUAGUGGUUAGUUCUGUUGUUGGUGCUGGAGACAGAACAGUUUUAGCUGUGUAAAUUUCCUCUGUAUUUGUUGGUUCCUCAGUUGUAGUGGAUGGGGCUACCAUUGUUGUUGAUGCAGUUGUUUCAUCUGUUGUUGCAGCCUGUAUUGUGGAGACUAUAGUAUUGGUCAGUUCUGCUGUAGGUGAUGUAUUUAAUGUUAUACUUGUAUCUGUGGUUGUUUCCUCCCUAGUUGUUGCUUCCUCAAUUGUAGUGGGUGGAGCUGUAACAAUUGUAAAUGCAGUUGGUUCUACUGUCCUUGGUCCUGUGCUUGUUGUAGCCUGUGUAGUUGAUACUGUAAAAGUGGUAAAUUCUGAUGUUGCUGCUGUAGUUAAAGUUGUAGUUGCAGCUGUGGUUGUUUCCUCUGUAGUUGUUACAUCCUCAGUUGUUGUGGUUGGAGCUAGAGCAGUAGUAGAUGCAAAUGUUUCUAGUGUUGUUGGUCCUGUGCUUGUUGAAGCCUUUGUACUUGAUACUGUGGAAAUCAUAAAUUCUGUUGUUGAUGCUGUAGUUAAAGUUGUAGCAGUAUCUGAGCUUGUUUCCUCUGUAGUUGUUGCUUCCUCAGGUGUAGUGGUUGCAGCUGAAGUAGCUGUAGAUGCAAUUGUUGUGGACACUAUAGUACUGGUCAGUUCUGUUGUAGGUGAUGGUAUACUUAUAGCUCUGGUUGUUUUCACUGUUGUUGUUUGUUCCUGAGUUGUAGUGGUUGGGGCUACAGUUGUUGUAGAUGCACUUGGUUCUACUGUCGAGGGUUCCGUGCUUGUUCUAGCCUGUGUAGUUGAUAGUGUGGAAGUGGUAAAUUCUGUUGUUGCUGCUGUAGUUAAAGUUGUAGAUGUUUCCUCUGUAAUUGUUGCUUUCUCAAUUGCAGUGGUUGGAACUGGAGUAGUUGUAGAUGGAGUUGUUUCUACUGUUGUUGGUCCUGUGCUAGUUGUAACCUGUGUAGUUGAUACUGUGGAAGUGGUAAAUUCUGUUGUUGCUGCUGUAGUUAAAAUUGUAGUAGUAUCUGUGGUUGUUUCCUCUGUAGUUGUUCCUUCCUCAGUUGUAGUGGUUGGAAAUGGAGCAGUUGUAGAUGGAGUUGUUUCUACUGUUGUUGGUCCUGUGCUAGUUGUAACCUGUGUAGUUGAUAGUUCUGUUUGUGCUGUUGUCAGUACAGUUGUAGCUGUGGUGGUUUCCUUGGUAGUACUUGAUUCCUGGUGUGUAGUGCUUGGGGCUACAGUUGUUGUUGAUGCAGUUGUUUCAUCUGUGUUUGAAGCCUGUGUUGUGGACAUUAUAGCACUGAUGAUUGCUGUUGUGGUUGAUGGUAUACUUGUAGCUGUGGUUGUUUUCACUGUUGUUGUUUGUUCCUGAGUUGUAGUGGUUGAGGCUACAGUUGUUGUAGUUUCAGUUGUUUGUUCAGUUGUUGGCUGUGUGCUUGAUGUAGCUUCUGUUGUGGAUAGAGUGCUAGUGGUCAGUUCAGUUGUUGCUGUCGGUACUGUUGUGGUUGUAGGUUCCUGAAUUGUACUGGUUGGAGGUGAAGUAGCUGUAGAUGAAGUUGUUUCUACUGUCGUUGGUCCUGUGCUUGUUGUAGUCUGUGUAGUUGGUACUGUGGAAGUGGUUAAUUCUGUUGUUGCUGCUGUAUUUAAAGUUGUAGUUGUAGCUGUGGUUGUUUCCUCUGUAGUUGUUGCUGUCUCACUUGUUGUGGUUGGAGCUGGAGUAGUUGUAGAUGGAGUUGUUUCUACUGUCGAGGGUCCCGUGCUUGUUGUAGCCUGUGUAGUUGAUACUGUGGAAGUGGUAAAUUCUGUUGUUGCUGCAGGCGUUAAAGUUGUAGUUGUUUCCUCUGUAGUUGUUGCUUCCUCAGUUGUAGUGGAUGGAGCUGAAGUAGCUGUGGAUGCAGUUGUUUCUACUGUUGUUGGUCCUGUGCUUGUUGUAGCCUGUGUAGUUGAUAGUUCUGUUUGUGCUGUUGUCAGUACAGUUGUAGCUGUAGGUGUUUCCUCGGUAGUACUUGGUUCCUGGGUUGUAGUGUAUGGGGCUACAGUUGCUGUUGAUGCAGUUGUUUCAUAUGUGGUUGCAGCCUGUGUUGUGGACACUAUAGUACUGGUGAGUUCUGUUGUAUGUGAUGGUAUACUUGUAGCUGUGGUUAUUUGCACUGUUGUUGUUUGUUCCUGAAUUGUACUGGAUGGAGCUGAAGUAGCUGUAGAUGCACUUGUUUCUGCUGUUGAGGGUCCCGUGCUUGUUGUAACCUGUGUAGUUGAUACUGUGGAAGUGGUAAAUUCUGUUGUUGCUGCAGGCGUUAAAGUUGUAGUUGUUUCCGCUGUAGUUGUUGCUUCCUCAGUUGUAGUGGAUGGAGCUGAAGUAGCUGUGGAUGCAGUUGUUUCUACUGUUGUUGGUCCUGUGCUUGUUGUAGCCUGUGUAGUUGAUAGUUCUGCUUGUGCUGUUGUCAUAACAGUUGUAGCUGUAGGUGUUUCCUCGGUAGUACUUGGUUCCUG